Molecule: ribosomal RNA, 1188 nt
Filed under: uncultured bacterium
Lineage: Bacteria
Description: bacterial SSU rRNA
Rfam family: Bacterial small subunit ribosomal RNA
Source: RNAcentral
UGCUAUCACUCUUGGAUGGACCUGCGGUGCAUUAGCUAGUUGGUAAGGUAACGGCUUACCAAGGCAAUGAUGCAUAGCCGAGUUGAGAGACUGAUCGGCCACAUUGGGACUGAGACACGGCCCAAACUCCUACGGGAGGCAGCAGUAGGGAAUAUUGCGCAAUGGACGAAAGUCUGACGCAGCGACGCCGCGUGAGGGAUGAAGGUUUUCGGAUCGUAAACCUCUGUCAGGAGGGAAGAAAGCGCAUGGCGCCAAUCAGCCAUGCGUUGACGGUACCUCCAAAGGAAGCGCCGGCUAACUCCGUGCCAGCAGCCGCGGUAAUACGGAGGGCGCGAGCGUUAAUCGGAAUUACUGGGCGUAAAGCGCGCGUAGGCUGUUGUGUAAGUUGGGGGUGAAAUCCCACGGCUCAACCGUGGAACAGCCCUUGAUACUGCGCGACUUGAAUCCGGGAGAGGGUGGCGGAAUUCCAGGUGUAGGAGUGAAAUCCGUAGAUAUCUGGAGGAACAUCAGUGGCGAAGGCGGCCACCUGGACCGGUAUUGACGCUGAGGCGCGAAAGCGUGGGGGAGCAAACAGGAUUAGAUACCCUGGUAGUCCACGCUGUAAACGAUGGAUGCUGGAUGUCGGGGAGUAAUCCCCGGUGUCGUAGCCCACGCGAUAAGCAUCCCGCCUGGGGAGUACGGUCGCAAGGCUGAAACUCAAAGAAAUUGACGGGGGCCCGCACAAGCGGUGGAGUAUGUGGUUUAAUUCGAUGCAACGCGAAGAACCUUACCUGGGUUUGACAUCCGGGGGAUCCUCCCGAAAAGGGGGAGUGCCCUUCGGGGAGCCCCGAGACAGGUGCUGCAUGGCUGUCGUCAGCUCGUGUCGUGAGAUGUUGGGUUAAGUCCCGCAACGAGCGCAACCCUUGUCACUAGUUGCUACGAAAGGGCACUCUAGUGAGACUGCCGGUGACAAACCGGAGGAAGGUGGGGAUGACGUCAAGUCCUCAUGGCCCUUAUGGGUAGGGCUUCACACGUCAUACAAUGGUCGGAACAGAGGGCAGCGAAGCCGAGAGGCGGAGCAAAUCCCAGAAAACCGAUCGUAGUCCGGAUUGCAGUCUGCAACUCGACUGCAUGAAGUCGGAAUCGCUAGUAAUCGCGGAUCAGCAUGCCGCGCUGAAGGGGUUCCCGGGUCUUGUACACACCGCCCGU